RNAcentral lists this ribosomal RNA (793 nucleotides) under uncultured bacterium. Its description in RNAcentral is "bacterial SSU rRNA". It matches the Rfam family "Bacterial small subunit ribosomal RNA", at positions 8 to 796 of the family's 1533-position model. The record is from RNAcentral.
AGAGUUUGAUCCUGGCUCAGGAUGAACGCUAGCGGCAGGCUUAAUACAUGCAAGUCGAGGGGCAACAGGGGUAGCAAUACCUGCUGGCGACCGGCAAACGGGUGCGGAACACGUACAGAACCUUCCUUUAAGCGGGGAAUAGCCCGGAGAAAUCCGGAUUAAUACCCCAUAGUAAUGUUGGGUGGCAUCAUUUGACAUUUAAAGAUUUAUCACUUAAAGAUGGCUGUGCGUAUGAUUAGGUAGUUGGUUGAGGUAACGGCUCACCAAGCCAACGAUCAUUAACUGGUGUGAGAGCACGACCAGUCACACGGGCACUGAGACACGGGCCCGACUCCUACGGGAGGCAGCAGUAAGGAAUAUUGGUCAAUGGACGCAAGUCUGAACCAGCCAUGCCGCGUGAAGGAUGAAGGUCCUCUGGAUUGUAAACUUCUUUUAUGUGGGAAGAAAUGCAUUCUUUAUAGAGUGUUUGACGGUACCAUAGGAAUAAGCACCGGCUAACUCCGUGCCAGCAGCCGCGGUAAUACGGAGGGUGCAAGCGUUAUCCGGAUUCACUGGGUUUAAAGGGUGCGUAGGUGGGCUUGUAAGUCAGUGGUGAAAUCUCCGUGCUUAACAUGGAAACUGCCAUUGAUACUAUAGGUCUUGAAUUUUCCGGAGGUUAGCGGAAUAUGUCUGUAGCGGUGAAAUGCUUAGAUAUGACAUAGAACACCAAUUGCGAAGGCAGCUAACUACAGGGAUAUUGACACUGAGGCACGAAAGCGUGGGGAUCAAACAGGAUUAGAUACCCUAGUAGUCC